RNAcentral lists this long non-coding RNA (255 nucleotides) under Panax ginseng (ginseng). Its description in RNAcentral is "long non-coding RNA (PGIN_LNC014250)". The record is from RNAcentral. Lineage: Eukaryota; Viridiplantae; Streptophyta; Magnoliopsida; Apiales; Araliaceae.
GAAGAGCCUCCAACAGAAGAAUCUCCCCGAGCCGAUCCCCUCGUUACCGAAUCACCCACUGUCGGCCCUCAGAUUGAUGAACCACAAAAUGACGAGCCUCCUGCACCUGAAGAAUCCCUCAAACCCCGAAGAAGAAAGAGAGCUGCCAAGAUAUCCAAAUCCGUUCGCCCCGAUACAGAACCUGAGAUAGAUCAGUGAACAAAUCUAGAAACAAACCCCUCAUCCAAUCUCACUUCUGUACCUCCCAAAUCCGCU